Molecule: ribosomal RNA, 740 nt
Filed under: uncultured bacterium
Lineage: Bacteria
Description: bacterial SSU rRNA
Rfam family: Bacterial small subunit ribosomal RNA
Source: RNAcentral
CUGGCGGCGUGCCUAAUACAUGCAAGUCGAGCGGAUCUUGUCCUUCGGGAUAAGGUUAGCGGCGGACGGGUGAGUAACACGUAGGCAACCUGCCGAUAAGACUGGGAUGACCUCCGGAAACGGAAGCUAAGACCGGAUACGUUGGCGUUUCGCAUGAAGCGUCAUGGAAAGACGGAGCAAUCUGUCACUUAUCGAUGGGCCUGCGGCGCAUUAGCUAGUAGGUGGGGUAAUGGCUCACCUAGGCGACGAUGCGUAGCCGACCUGAGAGGGUGAACGGCCACACUGGGACUGAGACACGGCCCAGACUCCUACGGGAGGCAGCAGUAGGGAAUCUUCGGCAAUGGACGAAAGUCUGACCGAGCAACGCCGCGUGAGUGAAGAAGGGUUUCGGCUCGUAAAACUCUGUUGCCAAGGAAGAACGCUGGGUAGAGUAACUGCUAUCCAGGUGACGGUACUUGAGAAGAAAGCCCCGGCCAACUACGUGCCAGCAGCCGCGGUAAUACGUAGGGGGCAAGCGUUGUCCGGAAUUAUUGGGCGUAAAGCGCGCGCAGGCGGUUUUUUAAGUCUGGAGUUUAAACCUGGGGCUCAACCUCGGGUCGCUCUGGAAACUGGGGAACUGGAGUGUAGGAGAGGAAAGUGGAAUUCCACGUGUAGCGGUGAAAUGCGUAGAGAUGUGGAGGAACACCAGUGGCGAAGGCGACUUUCUGGCCUAUAACUGACGCUGAGGCGCGAAAGCGUGG